RNAcentral lists this transfer RNA (64 nucleotides) under Caudoviricetes sp. RNAcentral describes it as "tRNA-Met". It matches the Rfam family "tRNA". Rfam says of the family: Transfer RNA (tRNA) molecules are approximately 80 nucleotides in length. Their secondary structure includes four short double-helical elements and three loops (D, anti-codon, and T loops). The record is from RNAcentral. Lineage: Duplodnaviria; Heunggongvirae; Uroviricota; Caudoviricetes.
UGUGGGGUGGUAGCUCACUAGGCUCAUAACCUAGAGGUCGUUGGUUCGAGUCCAACCCCCGCGC